UGGGGGCUGAGACGGAGCGGAGGUAACGGCUUCCUGCAGCCACCCUUCUGUUGAGACAACUUCUGACAAGACUUCAGCGAUGGAUCAAGUGAAGGGUUGUUGUCCCCUUCGUUGUGUCCCUGGAGUGAGGUGAGCUAGAGAGUUUCCCCUCAAACCGUGAGAGUGUGCGUGGGUCGUGAGGAUUGGAUGUUUGGACUGCCCUCUCACCUCUGGAUCUCCCCCACAUUAACCCUCUUCUGUGUGGCCUGUGAUUUUCUCUUCUCUGUAAAUAAACAGAAAGGACAGAUUCUAAAAGUCUACAGUGAGCUAUGUAGCUAAGCCUGGUAUA
Long non-coding RNA from Astatotilapia calliptera (eastern happy), 328 nucleotides. The record is from Ensembl. NCBI's taxonomy places the organism in Eukaryota, Metazoa, Chordata, Actinopteri, Cichliformes, Cichlidae.